GAUGAACGCUGGCGGCGUGCCUAAUACAUGCAAGUCGAGCGAGAAGCUUGGAAAUGACGCUUCGGUUGAUUUUCCAAGCGGACAGCGGCGGACGGGUGAGUAACGCGUAGGCAACCUGCCCCUGACAGAGGGAUAGCCAUUGGAAACGAUGAUUAAAACCUCAUGACACCGUAGUAGCACAUGCUACAUCGGUCAAAGAUUUAUCGGUCAGGGAUGGGCCUGCGUCUGAUUAACUGGUUGGUGAGGUAACGGCUCACCAAGGUGACGAUCAGUAGCCGACCUGAGAGGGUGAUCGGCCACAUUGGAACUGAGACACGGUCCAAACUUCUACGGAAGGCAGCAGUAGGGAAUCUUGCACAAUGGGCGAAAGCCUGAUGCAGCAACGCCGCGUGAAGGAUGAAGGCCUUCGGGUUGUAAACUUCUGUUCUAAGGGAAGAAAGAAAUGACGGUACCUUAGGAGCAAGCCCCGGCUAACUACGUGCCAGCAGCCGCGGUAAUACGUAGGGGGCAAGCGUUAUCCGGAAUUAUUGGGCGUAAAGAGUGCGUAGGUGGUUACCUAAGCGCAAGGUUUAAAUUAGAGGCUCAACCUCUACAUGCCUUGCGAACUGGGCUACUUGAGUGCAGGAGGGGAAAGCGGAAUUCCUAGUGUAGCGGCGAAAUGCGUAGAUAUUAGGAGGAACACCGGCGGCGAAGGCGGCUUUCUGGACUGUAACUGACACUGAGGCACGAAAGCGUGGGUAGCAAACAGG
This 749-nucleotide ribosomal RNA is filed under the name uncultured Mogibacterium sp. RNAcentral's name for it is "bacterial SSU rRNA". It matches the Rfam family "Bacterial small subunit ribosomal RNA", at positions 28 to 776 of the family's 1533-position model. Lineage: Bacteria; Bacillati; Bacillota; Clostridia; Peptostreptococcales; Anaerovoracaceae. The record is from RNAcentral.